CGAUAGAGGGUGACGCACGGAAUAGGUGUAGUGGAGAAGAGGGACGAUCGGUGUGUGUGUGCCUGUGUGGGUACUGGCACGAGGUCAGGUGCCGCGGCGCAAGGGGAAGAGAUAAGGGAGGAGAGAAUUUAGGAGGCUCGAAAACAGCCGGUCAACGCCGCGCCGACGCAUACCCGAGGACCACCGGCCCGGACGCGCGCCCCCGCUUGACCCCGACACCGCCUCCGCGCCGUCGCCACCGGCCGCCGACGAACUGCCCCGGCGCACCUAGACGGCGGCCCCGACGCCUAGCCGCACCAACAAAGUCGGGACUCAAAAGCUGCGGCUCCGGUAGUUAUUAGGGUUUAGGUAACGGUUCAGACUUUCCGUCCACAACUGUAUGCUUGUGCAGUGCACAUGGAAGCUGCGGCCCCCACUACGUAGCGUCGAGUGCAGCUUCCUCUGGGCUGGCCGUCGCGCUAUGCGUUCUGUCAGCCGCCCGCGAAAACAUCUGGGCUUUGGGGUGCGCGGGCCCUCCCUGGGGCAGUCCCGCGCGCCGCCGAUACCCGACGGGAUCCAGCUGGACUAGCGGGGAUCCCGGAGCUCCAAGCGGCGGGACGUUUUCUUCUUGUUUGCUUCUUGCUCCUUCUUCUAUGUUCCUAUCCCCUAUCUACUUGUGCUUUUUCAUCAUCUACACAAAUAGGCUAACCAUAACAAAGUUAGCCGGCAGUGGGGAUUGUAUAUAUUCUCCACCGACCUGAAGGGCAUGUUCGUUUCUUAAAUAGAUCCGAAAGGAAUGUUCUUUUUAAUGUAGUUAAGUGCAGGUUUUG
RNAcentral lists this ribosomal RNA (809 nucleotides) under Triticum aestivum (bread wheat). Its description in RNAcentral is "partial small subunit ribosomal RNA". Lineage: Eukaryota; Viridiplantae; Streptophyta; Magnoliopsida; Poales; Poaceae. The record is from RNAcentral.